GGGUUGUGAGGUUAAGCGACUAAGCGUACACGGUGGAUGCCCUGGCAGUCAGAGGCGAUGAAGGACGUGCUAAUCUGCGAUAAGCGCCGGUAAGGUGAUAUGAACCGUUAUAACCGGCGAUUUCCGAAUGGGGAAACCCAGUGUGACUCGUCACACUAUCAUUAACUGAAUCCAUAGGUUAAUGAGGCGAACCGGGGGAACUGAAACAUCUAAGUACCCCGAGGAAAAGAAAUCAACCGAGAUUCCCCCAGUAGCGGCGAGCGAACGGGGAGGAGCCCAGAGCCUGAAUCAGCAUGU
Molecule: ribosomal RNA, 297 nt
Filed under: Salmonella enterica
Lineage: Bacteria; Pseudomonadati; Pseudomonadota; Gammaproteobacteria; Enterobacterales; Enterobacteriaceae
Description: partial 23S ribosomal RNA
Rfam family: Bacterial large subunit ribosomal RNA
Source: RNAcentral